GUAAGUGAGAAGACAGAGGGAAGCCCAGGGGCCUGUGGCAGCCCAGAGGAGAGCUUACCCAUGAAGGCUUCUGUGAGGAGUUGUGUGAAGAAAGCGUGCUUUGGGCAGCCAGUGAUCUCAGAAUGAGAGGCAGAUGGAACAGACCUGAGCCUGAAAGACAGCCUGAGGCAGACCAUUUCCUGCCUCUCCAGCCUCCCUGCAGACUAUGAGCAAGACAAAUACUGUUUAGAAGCCAUCAAGAUUUUUAGUUGUUUGUUAUGCGGCAUUAUUACAGCAGUAGCUGACCAAUGCACCAAGAAUGACUGUAUGACCCAGCAAGUCCGCUUCAAGUCCCGACAGAAUCGCAAACAGGAACUCAAAUAGAUACUUGCUCACCCACGUCCAUUGCACCGCUAUUCCCAACAGCCAAGAGGCUGUGUCCACUGAGGGAUGAAGAAACAAAGUGUCCACUGAGGGAUGAAGAAACAAAGUAUCCAUAUAACGGACUUUGUGCAGCCUUAAAGAGGAAGGAAAUUCUGGCAUGUGCUACAACAGGGGCGGACCUUGAAGACAUUAUGCUGAGUGAAUAAGUCUGUAUGGCUCCACUUGUAGGAGGUAACAAGUUCAUAAAGACAGAAAGUGGAAUGGUCGUUGCCAAGAACUGGGGAGCGAGGGGAUGGGGAGUUACUGUGUAAUGGGCAUGACUUUCAGUUUUGUCAGAUGAAGGAAGUUCUGGAGAUGAGCAGGGGUGAUGGUUGCAUAACAGUGUGAGUGGACUUAACGCCACUGAACUGUACACUUAAAAACGGUGAGGAGCACC
Molecule: long non-coding RNA, 799 nt
Organism: Suricata suricatta (meerkat)
Lineage: Eukaryota; Metazoa; Chordata; Mammalia; Carnivora; Herpestidae
Exons: 3
Source: RefSeq, a predicted model, not a curated record